RNAcentral lists this long non-coding RNA (224 nucleotides) under Capsicum annuum. Its description in RNAcentral is "long non-coding RNA (CANN_LNC014476)". Lineage: Eukaryota; Viridiplantae; Streptophyta; Magnoliopsida; Solanales; Solanaceae. The record is from RNAcentral.
AUACACUCAUGGGUACGAGCCGUAUGUUGGGGUAUGGAUGGUAAGGUCCAUUCGUAUGCUGACUAGUGUUGGUUUGUGGAAUGGAUUUUGGUUACUGGAAUGGAUAAGACUUAGGGGUAUGAGUUGUAUUGGUGGAAAUAGAUUGUUUGGUUCCUUAACUUAAUCUUAGACUUGGUUACUUAGGUUGGAUCUGAGUAUGAGUGUCUCACCGUGAGCCGUAACCC